Molecule: ribosomal RNA, 468 nt
Filed under: uncultured bacterium
Lineage: Bacteria
Description: partial 16S ribosomal RNA
Rfam family: Bacterial small subunit ribosomal RNA
Source: RNAcentral
ACGAACGCUGGCGGCGUGCUUCACCCAUGCAAGUCGAACGGAAAGGCCCUGCUUGCAGGGUGCUCGAGUGGCGAACGGGUGAGUAACACGUGGGUGAUCUGCCCCUUACUUUGGGAUAAGCCUGGGAAACUGGGUCUAAUACUGGAUAGGACCAUGCUGUAGGUGGUGUGGUGGAAAGAUUAGUUUCGGUAAGGGAUGAGCUCGCGGCCUAUCAGCUUGUUGGUGGGGUAAUGGCCUACCAAGGCGUCGACGGGUAGCCGGCCUGAGAGGGUGGACGGCCACAUUGGGACUGAGAUACGGCCCAGACUCCUACGGGAGGCAGCAGUGGGGAAUAUUGCACAAUGGGCGCAAGCCUGAUGCAGCGACGCCGCGUGGGGGAUGACGGCCUUCGGGUUGUAAACUCCUUUCAGCCAUGACGAAGCCCUUGUGGUGACGGUAGUGGUAGAAGAAGCACCGGCUAACUACGUG